AUAUUGGACUAUGGGGGCAACCCAGAUCCAGCCAUGCCGCGCGUGUGAAGAAGGUCUUCGGAUUGUAAAGCACUUUAAUUUGGGAGGAAGGGAUCUAGUCUAAGACCCUGAAGUUUUGACGUUACCAACAGAAUAAGCACCGUCUAACUCUGGUUCAUCAGCCGCGGUAAUACAGAGGGUGCAAGCGUUAAGCGGAAUUACUGGGCGUAAAGCGCGCGUAGGUGGUUCAGUAAGAUGGGUGUGAAAUCCCCGGGGUUAACCUGUGAAAGGCUUUCAUAACUGCUGAGCUAGAGUACGGUAGAGGGUAGUGGAAUUUCCUGUGUAGCGGUGAAAUGCGUAGAUAUAGGAAGGAACACCAGUGGCGAAGGCGAAUACCUGGAAUGAUACUGACACUGAGGUGCGAAAGCGUGGGGAGCAAAC
This 420-nucleotide ribosomal RNA is filed under the name uncultured bacterium. Its description in RNAcentral is "partial 16S ribosomal RNA". It matches the Rfam family "Bacterial small subunit ribosomal RNA", at positions 361 to 773 of the family's 1533-position model. The record is from RNAcentral.